ACCCCAGCCUCGGAAUUAGGUACCCAGCAGCGAUUGUCACUUUGUCUCUAUUUGUUUCUUCGGUCCCUUAAAUAUUAAGUCGAUAACAAACACCACCACCAUCAUCAUCAUCAUCAUCAUCAACAACAUCUCUGCUUUCUCGCUAAUCUCGCCAAGGAGCUUCCUGCACGUAUUCAUUUAUUAUAUAUCACAACGGUCAUGGGGCUAUCAGGAUUGCUUAAUCAUCCAUUAAACACACUUUCUUCACCAUCAUCUUUUCAUAACAGAAUGGCAAUGGUUUCCGUAGCAACUAACCUUACCUGGAGCCCUUGUUUUGAUCAUUGCAAGAAUUAUUAUAACAAAAUAAUCUUAUCCAGAAUAAACCAUAGAGGCUUCUCUUCAAUUAGUCGAUUUCGAGUUUAUUGUGAAUCCGAGAUAGAGAAAAAGGAGGAAAAGAAAGUGAAAAGGUGUUCACCUUAUUUGGAGAAGGCAUUGCUUAGAAGUAACGGCGAGUUGGUCCCUGAUGAGUGGAAAGCAGUUCCUGAUAUUUGGAGAACUUCAGCUGAGAAAUAUGGUGAUAGGGUUGCAUUGGUUGAUCCAUAUCACGACCCACCUACCAAUUUCACUUAUAAUCAGUUGGAGCAGGAAAUUUUAAAUUUUUCUGAAGGUUUAAGAAUUAUUGAAGUAAAGCCAAAUGAGAAAAUUGCUCUUUUUGCUGAUAAUUCUUGUCGAUGGCUUGUAGCAGAUCAAGGUAUAAUGGCUAUGGGAGCGAUUAAUGUUGUGAGGGGAUCAAGAUCGUCUGUUGAAGAGCUAUCACAAAUAUACAAUCAUUCUGAAAGUGUUGCACUUGUUGUGGACAGUCCUGAAUUGUUCAAUCGAAUUGCAGAAACACUAUGUUCCAAUGCAGUUAUCACAUUUAUCAUUCUACUUUGGGGAGAGAAAUCAGGCUUGGAUAUUAAAGGAAUGGAUGGCAUACCUGUUUUUAAUUACAAACAGAUUGUAGACUUGGGACGAGAGAGCCGUAAAGUUCUGCUUGAUUCAGAUGAUGCUUGGCGACAAUAUGUGUAUGAAACAAUAAGCUCAGAUGAUGUUGCUACACUCGUUUAUACUAGCGGAACCACAGGAAAUCCAAAAGGAGUCAUGCUUACGCAUAAGAAUUUGUUGCACCAGAUAAAUAAUCUAUUGGACGUUGUUCCUGCUGAACCUGGGGAUAGAUUUCUAAGCAUGCUACCACCUUGGCAUGCGUAUGAGCGUGCUUGUGAGUAUUUCAUAAUGACGCUCGGAGUUGAGCAAGUAUUCACAACUGUGAGAAAUUUAAAGGAAGACCUUAAGCAUUAUCAGCCACAUUACAUGAUCUCUGUUCCUUUAGUAUACGAGACACUUUACAGCGGGAUACAGAAGCAGAUCUCCACAAGUUCCACUAUCCGUAAGCUUGUUGCACUUACAUUCAUAAGGGUCAGCUUGGCAUACAUGGAGUUCAAGAGAAUUUAUGAGGGAACCUAUUUGACCAGGAUUCAGAAGCAACCUUCAUAUCUCAUUUCACUAUUGGACUGUCUAUGGGCAAGAAUCAUGGCUGCAAUCUUGUUGCCAGUGCAUAUGUUGGCUAAGAAGCUCGUUUACCGUAAAAUUCAUUUAGCUAUUGGAAUUAGCAAGGCUGGCAUAAGUGGUGGUGGCAGUUUACCUAUGCAUGUUGAUAAGUUUUUUGAGGCAAUUGGCGUAAAAGUGCAGAAUGGGUAUGGUAUGACAGAGUCAUCUCCAGUUACUGCUGCCCGACGACCUACUUGUAAUGUUCUUGGCUCAAUUGGGCAUCCGAUUCGGCACACAGAGUUUAAAGUGGUAGAUGCUGAAACUGAUGAAGCUUUUCCAGAUGGCUCAAAAGGGAUUGUGAAAGUUAAGGGGCCGCAAGUGAUGAAAGGUUACUACAAGAAUCAUUUGGCCACAAAGCAAGUGUUAGAUGAGGAAGGUUGGCUAAAUACUGGUGACAUAGGUUGGAUUGCUCCUCACCACUCAAUCGGGCGAAGCCGCCAUUGUAGUGGUGUUGUUGUCUUGGAGGGACGUGCUAAGGAUACCAUAGUUCUUUCAACAGGUGAAAACGUUGAGCCCUCGGAGAUUGAGGAAGCUGCUAUGAGAAGUGCCCUAAUUCAACAGAUCGUUGUCAUUGGUCAGGAUCAACGUCGUCUUGGAGCUAUAAUUGUUCCGAACAAAGAAGAGGUGCUGCUAGCUGCAAAAAAGUUGUCCAUUAUAGAUGCCAACACCUCUGAGCUGAAGAAGGAGCAAAUGGCGAGCAUGCUAGAUGAGGAACUUAGGAAUUGGACAUCAGGUUGUUCAUUUAAGGUUGGACCAAUACUCACUAUAGAUGAGCCUUUUACGAUUGAAAGUGGCUUGAUGACCCCAACCAUGAAAAUCAGAAGGGACAGAGUCAUGGACCAAUACAGAGAGCAGAUAGCCAAUCUCUACAAGUAGUUCAGAUGCAAAGAAAGAUACAUGAGAUAGAAUAACUAAAGAAAGGGCCUUUGUAUAUGGUCACAAGAAAAUAACCUGUUCCCAGUUUUGACACUUCGUAUAAGCAGUAACUCAGAUUGAAGCUCUGGGGCAUCUUCAGAUUUAGGUUUUGUUCCUUCGAUGAUUAUAGUACCAAGCACUUCUCAGCGAGCUUUAAUAUGACCAGAUUUGCUCAUUAAAUUGAUAUGAUCAGAUAUAUAAAAGUUGAAAGAAGCAAUUGUUUUGCACGAAAUCAAGUACUGCCGCCCUCGUGAGUUUAACGGUGCCCCAGCGACCUAUAUGUUUUCCUUCCUCUCAAAAGGGCAGAAGCUCGCAGCUUAGAGGUGCCCCCGCAACUAAAGAACUCUUGCUCCCUCGUAAAGAAGUUGCCUCUAUUUGGAGAGCAUCUCUCGAAUAACAAAAGUACUUUGAUUGUGAAAUAAAAAGCCUUUGCAUCUUAAUAUCA
Ricinus communis (castor bean) is the source of this 2926-nucleotide RNA transcript. It is a transcript of the gene named probable acyl-activating enzyme 16, chloroplastic, with no coding region annotated. The record is from RefSeq and is a predicted model, not a curated record. Lineage: Eukaryota; Viridiplantae; Streptophyta; Magnoliopsida; Malpighiales; Euphorbiaceae. The transcript has 21 exons.